Molecule: ribosomal RNA, 305 nt
Filed under: uncultured bacterium
Lineage: Bacteria
Description: bacterial SSU rRNA
Rfam family: Bacterial small subunit ribosomal RNA
Source: RNAcentral
GCCUACGGGGGGCAGCAGUGGGGAAUAUUGCACAAUGGGGGAAACCCUGAUGCAGCGACGCCGCGUGAAGGAAGAAGUAUUUCGGUAUGUAAACUUCUAUCAGCAGGGAAGAAAAUGACGGUACCUGACUAAGAAGCCCCGGCUAACUACGUGCCAGCAGCCGCGGCAAUACGUAGGGGGCAAGCGUUAUCCGGAUUUACUGGGUGUAAAGGGAGCGUAGGCGGUGCAGCAAGUCAGAAGUGAAAGCCCGGGGCUCUACUCCGGGCCUGCUUUUGAAACUGUUGGACUAGAUUGCAGGAGAGGUA